This 578-nucleotide ribosomal RNA is filed under the name uncultured Glomeromycotina. Its description in RNAcentral is "LSU rRNA". It matches the Rfam family "Eukaryotic large subunit ribosomal RNA", at positions 204 to 636 of the family's 3401-position model. The record is from RNAcentral. Lineage: Eukaryota; Fungi; Glomeromycota.
CAUGGAGGGUGAGAAUCCCGUUCGGUUGAUCAGAUCUUCUUUACGAUACGUCAUCAAAGAGUCAAGUUGUUUGGGAAUGCAGCUUAAAAUGGGAGGUAAAUUUCUCCUAAGGCUAAAUAACGGCGAGAGACCGAUAGCGAACAAGUACCGUGAGGGAAAGAUGAAAAGAACUUUGAAAAGAGAGUUAAAUAGUACGUGAAAUUGUUGAAAGGGAAACGAUUGAAGCCAGUCGUACCUGCGGGUAAUCAGCCUUUUGGGUGUGAUUAUGUGGAGCGUGAGGAGCUAAUCGCCUUCAUCUUUGCAUAUUCGUGCACUUUGGGUGUACUUGCUCGUGUGGUAGGUUAACAUCAAUUUCGGAUGUCAUAAAAUGGCUGGAGGAAUGUAGCUUCGGUCUCGUACUGAAGUGUUAUAGCCUCUGGUAGAUGUGAUGACCGGGAUUGAGGAUUGCAACGAAUACCUUUUGGGCUAUCCGUCUGAUCUCUGAAAGUUGCUCUGGUGCCGAAAGCUUGCUUAUGGUAUCAAAGUUGACGUUCAAUAGGUUAGAACGGGAUAAAUUCGUUAAGGAUGUUGACGUAAUG